CACGUAGGGUGCGAGCGUUGUCCGGAAUUAUUGGGCGUAAAGAGCUCGUAGGCGGUGUGUCGCGUCGGCCGUGAAAACCUGCAGCUUAACUGUGGGCGUGCGGUCGAUACGGGCAUCACUGGAGUUCGGCAGGGGAGACUGGAAUUCCUGGUGUAGCGGUGAAAUGCGCAGAUAUCAGGAAGAACACCCGUGGCUAAGGCGGCUCUCUAGUACGGUACUGACGCUGAGACGCGAAAGCGUGGGGAGCGAACAGG
RNAcentral lists this ribosomal RNA (254 nucleotides) under uncultured bacterium. RNAcentral describes it as "partial 16S ribosomal RNA". It matches the Rfam family "Bacterial small subunit ribosomal RNA", at positions 524 to 776 of the family's 1533-position model. The record is from RNAcentral.